UCUACCUGCUCAGUGAUUAUUUAAAUAGCCGCGGUAUUUUAACUGUGCAAAGGUAGCAUAAUAAUUAGUCUUUUAAUUGAGGUCUGGAAUGAAUGGUUUGACGAGAAAUUUACUUUAUUUAUUUUAUUUUUUUUGAAUUUUAUUUUUUAGUUAAAAAUCUAAAAUUUUAAAGAGGGACGAUAAGACCCUAUAGAUCUUACACAUUUAAUUUAUUUUUUUUUUUUUGUUGUGGUUUUGAUAAUAAUUUGAUUUUUUUUGUUGGGGUGAUAGCUAAAAAAUUUAACUUUAGUUUAUUUAAACAUUUUAUUUUUGGUUAAUUUGAUCUAUAAUUUAUGAUUUCAAGAUAUAGAUACCUUAGGGAUAACAGCGUUAUGGAGUUGGAGAGUUCUUAUUGAUAGCUUCGUUUGCGACCUCGAUGUUGGAUUAAAAUUUUACUGUGGGGUAGGUUUUACAGUUUUAGGUU
This 463-nucleotide ribosomal RNA is filed under the name Gergithus multipunctatus. RNAcentral's name for it is "partial 16S ribosomal RNA". The record is from RNAcentral. Lineage: Eukaryota; Metazoa; Arthropoda; Insecta; Hemiptera; Issidae.